UACGGGAGGCAGCAGUGGGGAAUAUUGCACAAUGGGCGAAAGCCUGAUGCAGCUAUGCCGCGUGUAUGAAGAAGGCCUUAGGGUUGUAAAGUACUUUCAUCGGGGAGGAAAAAACAAAACUAAUAAUUUUAUUUCUUGACGUUACCCGAAAAAGAAGCACCGGCUAACUCCGUGCCAGCAGCCGCGGUAAUACGGAGGGUGCUAGCGUUAAUCAGAAUUACUGGGCGUAAAGAGCACGUAGGUGGUUUUUUAAGUCAGAUGUGAAAUCCCUGGGCUUAACCUAGGAACUGCAUUUUGAAACUGAAAUACUAGAGUAUCGUAGAGGGAGGUAGAAUUCUAGGUGUAGCGGUGAAAUGCGUAGAUAUCUGGAGGAAUACCUGUGGCGAAAGCGGCCUCCUAAACGAAUACUGACACUGAGGUGCGAAAAGCGUGGGGAGCAAAACAGGGAUUAGAUACC
This 457-nucleotide ribosomal RNA is filed under the name uncultured bacterium. RNAcentral's name for it is "bacterial SSU rRNA". It matches the Rfam family "Bacterial small subunit ribosomal RNA", at positions 340 to 786 of the family's 1533-position model. The record is from RNAcentral.